AUCUGCUUGUCUCAAAGAUUAAGCCAUGCAUGUCUGAGUAUAAGCAAUUGUACAGCGAAACUGCGAAUGGCUCAUUAUAUAAGUUAUCGUUUAUUUGAUAGUACCUUACUACUUGGAUAACCGUGGUAAUUCUAGAGCUAAUACAUGCUGAAAAUCCCGACUCCGGAAGGGAUGCGUUUAUUAGAUUAAAAACCAAUGCCCCCCGGGCUCCUUGGUGAUUCAUGAUAACCUCUCGAAUCGCACGGCCUCGCGCCGGCGAUGGUUCAUUCAAAUUUCUUCCCUAUCAACUUUCGAUGUUUGGGUAGUGGCCAAACAUGGUUUCAACGGGUAACGGAGGGUUAGGGCUCGACCCCGGAGAAGGAGCCUGAGAGACGGCUACUACAUCCAAGGAAGGCAGCAGGCGCGCAAAUUACCCAAUCCCGACGCGGGGAGGUAGUGACAAUAAAUACUGAUACAGGGCUCUUUUGGGUCUUGUAAUUGGAAUGAGUACAAUUUAAACCCCUUAACGAGGAACAAUUGGAGGGCAAGUCUGGUGCCAGCAGCCGCGGUAAUUCCAGCUCCAAUAGCGUAUAUUAAAGUUGUUGUGGUUAAAAGCUCGUAGUUGAACCUGGGGCCUGGCUGGCCGGUCCGCCUCACCGCGUGCACUGGUCCGGCCGGGCCCUUCCCCCUGUGGAACCCCAUGCCCUUCGCUGGGCGUGGCGGGGAGACAGGACGUUUACUUUGAAAAAAUUAGAGUGCUCCAGGCAGGCCUUUGCUCGAAUACAUUAGCAUGGAAUAAUGAAAUAGGACGCGCGGUUCUAUUUUGUUGGUUUCUAGGACCGCCGUAAUGAUUGAUAGGGACAGUCGGGGGCAUCAGUAUUCAAUUGUCAGAGGUGAAAUUCUUGGAUCUAUUGAAGACUAACUACUGCGAAAGCAUUUGCCAAGGAUGUUUUCAUUAAUCAGGAACGAAAGUUAGGGGAUCGAAGACGAUCAGAUACCGUCGUAGUCUUAACCAUAAACUAUGCCGACUAGGGAUCGGACGAUGUUACUCUUUGACUCGUUCGGCACCUUGCGAGAAAUCAAAGUGCUUGGGCUCCAGGGGGAG
This 1084-nucleotide ribosomal RNA is filed under the name Ophiocordyceps konnoana. Its description in RNAcentral is "SSU rRNA". It matches the Rfam family "Eukaryotic small subunit ribosomal RNA", at positions 26 to 1123 of the family's 1831-position model. The record is from RNAcentral. Lineage: Eukaryota; Fungi; Ascomycota; Sordariomycetes; Hypocreales; Ophiocordycipitaceae.